This 392-nucleotide ribosomal RNA is filed under the name uncultured bacterium. RNAcentral describes it as "bacterial SSU rRNA". It matches the Rfam family "Bacterial small subunit ribosomal RNA", at positions 28 to 418 of the family's 1533-position model. The record is from RNAcentral.
GACGAACGCUGGCGGCGUGCUUAACACAUGCAAGUCGAACGGUGAACCAGGGCUUGCCCUGGGGAUCAGUGGCGAACGGGUGAGUAACACGUGGGCAACCUGCCCCUGACUCUGGGAUAACUCCUCGAAAGAGGUGCUAAUACCGGAUACGACCACUCCGGGCAUCCGAUGGUGGUGGAAAGAAUUUUGGUCAGGGGAUGGGGCCCGCGGCCUAUCAGCUUGUUGGUGGGGUAACGGCCCACCAAGGCGACGACGGGUAGCCGGCCUGAGAGGGCGACCGGCCACACUGGGACUGAGACACGGCCCAGACUCCUACGGGAGGCAGCAGAGGGAAAUAUUGCGCAAUGGGCGAAAGCCUGACGCAGCGACGCCGCGUGAGGGACGACGGCCUC